This is an unclassified non-coding RNA of Pongo abelii (Sumatran orangutan), 117 nucleotides long. It matches the Rfam family "Metazoan signal recognition particle RNA". Rfam says of the family: The signal recognition particle (SRP) is a universally conserved ribonucleoprotein. The record is from Ensembl. Lineage: Eukaryota; Metazoa; Chordata; Mammalia; Primates; Hominidae.
GCCAGGCAUGAUGGCUCAUGCCUGUAAUCCCAGCACUUUGGGAGGCUGAGACAGGUGGAUCAUCUGAGGUCAGGAGUUCAAGACCAGCCUGACCAACAUGGUGACACCCUGUCUCUA